Molecule: transfer RNA, 66 nt
Filed under: Tetranematichthys quadrifilis
Lineage: Eukaryota; Metazoa; Chordata; Actinopteri; Siluriformes; Auchenipteridae
Description: tRNA-Cys
Source: RNAcentral
GUUCUGUGGUGUAUGACAUAUUGGAUUGCAAACCCAAAGGCGUAGGUUAACCCCUGCCGGAGCUUU